UGUUAAAAAUUUUAUUUAUUUUUAUUGUUAAAAAUUGAUGUGGUUGAUGGAAUAACUAAACAGUUACACGUGGUGUGUUACGUAUACCUUAUUCUAACGGAUAGAAACCGGCAUUGUAAUAGUAGAAAUUAGUGAAAAUUUCAAUA
Gossypium raimondii (Peruvian cotton) is the source of this 146-nucleotide non-coding RNA. NCBI's taxonomy places the organism in Eukaryota, Viridiplantae, Streptophyta, Magnoliopsida, Malvales, Malvaceae. The record is from Rfam.